Molecule: long non-coding RNA, 660 nt
Filed under: Marmota monax (woodchuck)
Lineage: Eukaryota; Metazoa; Chordata; Mammalia; Rodentia; Sciuridae
Source: RNAcentral
GGGUCUUGCUAAGUUGCUGAGGCUGGCUUUGAACUUGCAAUCAUCCUGGCUCCCGAGUUGCUGGGAUUAUAGGUGUACGCUGCCCCAUUCAGCUCCUCUGGAUUUUUUUUUUUUUUUUAAGUCUGGGGCAAUGAGAUAAAGGUGGUACAGAUCAGGUACCUUUUAUACAUGUCAAGUCUUCUCUAACUGGUUUCACAAAUGCUUGUUAUCCCUUCCAAAAUAAAAUGAGAAAUACAUGCAAAAACGGGGUGAUGUGUGCACUGGGUGGUUUAAAGGGAACUCCAUCUAUUAGGAUAACAGGAUGAAGUACUGAAUAACCAUGUGCCAUCUGGUCAGUUUGUUUUUUGAUUUUGGUUUUGUUCCCCAAAAUAAAAGGCAGAGUUUCAGAGCUCAUUUGGAAACACUCUUUCAAGCUGUUAGGAAUUCCUGACAUGUCCCAAACCAUUGCCUGUACUUCUGGGGCCACUGUUUUUGGUGUAACAACCUGAGUAGGGCCAGCCCUACCCGUGAGCCUGGGCAGUCACAGAUAAUGGAUGAAGUGGAAUCUGGGUUUCCUUCCCCACCCUGACAUUCAGACAAUCUGUUCUUGUCCAGGACCUGGGGAAGACCAGGAAGACUGGAUGCUGAAAAGUUGUAGACAUCCAGCGUAAGGGACUUGAG